Molecule: long non-coding RNA, 230 nt
Filed under: Elaeis guineensis (African oil palm)
Lineage: Eukaryota; Viridiplantae; Streptophyta; Magnoliopsida; Arecales; Arecaceae
Description: long non-coding RNA (EGUI_LNC005680)
Source: RNAcentral
CUCGAGAACAAAACUCUGCUAUUGUUUACAUUCAACUCCUGUUCAUCAAUUUUUCUCUCUGAUUUAGGCAUCGGAGGAUCUCCGUCGGACACAAAUCCAAUCUACGUGGAUGUUAUUUUGCAGGUGUUUAUUUCUGACGACAAGCGAUGGAGAGUUGGCCGCAAUAGAUUGAUGCGCCAGGUAGGGGGAAGAUAACUUGCAAUGACGAAAAUCAGGGCUCAACGAUCAAC